AUACGGAGGAUCCGAGCGUUAUCCGGAUUUAUUGGGUUUAAAGGGAGCGUAGAUGGGUUGUUAAGUCAGUUGUGAAAGUUUGCGGCUCAACCGUAAAAUUGCAAUUGAUACUGGCAGCCUUGAGUACAGUUGAGGUAGGCGGAAUUCGUGGUGUAGCGGUGAAAUGCUUAGAUAUCACGAAGAACUCCGAUUGCGAAGGCAGCCUACUAAACUGCCACUGACAUUGAUGCUCGAAAGUGUGGGUAUCAAACAGGAUUAGAUACCCUGGUAGUCCACACGGUAAACGAUGAAUACUCGCUGUUUGCGAUAUACAGCAAGCGGCCAAGCGAAAGCGUUAAGUAUUCCACCUGGGGAGUACGCCGGCAACGGUGAAACUUAAAGGAAUUGACGGGG
Molecule: ribosomal RNA, 393 nt
Filed under: uncultured bacterium
Lineage: Bacteria
Description: partial 16S ribosomal RNA
Rfam family: Bacterial small subunit ribosomal RNA
Source: RNAcentral